This 429-nucleotide ribosomal RNA is filed under the name Chloroflexota bacterium. RNAcentral describes it as "Chloroflexi bacterium partial 16S ribosomal RNA". It matches the Rfam family "Bacterial small subunit ribosomal RNA", at positions 355 to 776 of the family's 1533-position model. Lineage: Bacteria; Bacillati; Chloroflexota. The record is from RNAcentral.
UGGGGAAUAUUGCACAAUGGGCGCAAGCCUGAUGCAGCCAUGCCGCGUGUAUGAAGAAGGCCUUCGGGUUGUAAAGUACUUUCAGCGGGGAGGAAGGUGGUAAGGUUAAUAACCUUAUCAAUUGACGUUACCGACAGAAGAAGCACCGGCUAACUCCGUGCCAGCAGCCGCGGUAAUACGGAGGGUGCAAGCGUUAAUCGGAAUUACUGGGCGUAAAGCGCACGCAGGCGGUCUGUCAAGUCGGAUGUGAAAUCCCCGGGCUCAACCUGGGAACUGCAUUCGAAACUGGCAGGCUAGAGUCUUGUAGAGGGGGGUAGAAUUCCAGGUGUAUCGGUGAAAUGCGUAGAGAUCUGGAGGAAUACCGGUGGCGAAGGCGGCCCCCUGGACAAAGACUGACGCUCAGGUGCGAAAGCGUGGGGAGCAAACAGG